Oreochromis niloticus (Nile tilapia) is the source of this 10650-nucleotide long non-coding RNA. RefSeq lists it as uncharacterized. The record is from RefSeq and is a predicted model, not a curated record. The transcript has 2 exons. Lineage: Eukaryota; Metazoa; Chordata; Actinopteri; Cichliformes; Cichlidae.
UUUCUGUCCAAAUAGCGAGUUUUUGUUUAUUUUGUGUCUUUGUUGUUAGCAUUACUUUCUCCUUUGGCUCCAGACAGAGAAGUGUCACUUUGUCGCUUGUAGCUAAACAUAUGUUGCUUUUGGCUAUAUGACUGGCACUCUCAUUUUUCUUGGGAGGAUAGACGUGUAUAUGCUGCACAGGCGUCAUUGAGAAAUAGCUGAGGAUCAGACUUGGUGACGUGGUGUGUUGGAUGAACUUACAAGCAGUGUGGGACCAAAAAUGUUAAUUAGAUGAUAAAAGAAGAGGCAAAGCCUGAAGAACUAGAAACUGGCAAACCUGUGUACUGUUGACCUCUGCACUUGUUCAUUUAGAACAAGGAGACUUUAAUCAUGAUCUACUUCUUAUUUCCUCAUGAGAGGGUUUGUUUCAGACAGUAGUCCAGAAUGAGCCAUGCUGGCAGGGAGAGCUAAUCAGUGCCAAAAGUAUAGCUAUUUUCCUAUCAGGAGGCGACAGACAGGUAAAAAACCCUACAGAGAUGAGUGAGCACAGGCAGAGGUCAACAGAUGGAGCUUGGCAGGGCAGGGGGAACAAGCUGCACCAUUCCUUUCUCAAAGGGAGGCUACCAUAAGUGUCAGCACAAGAAAGUCAGAGUGAGCAAGAGAACAGUCGAUGAAACUGGAAGGACAUCGGAGGGUCGGAGAUUUUCACCAAAUUACAUGAUUUUCUGUGACAGGUGUCAUAGUUUAAAGGCAGGGAGGGUGACAUCGGGUUGCUGGCCGUGUAGCAGAACUGACAAGGCAGAAGCUUCACAUUUAAGAAAACCGGCGUGAGAGAAACAUCUGAAGAAGAAGAAGAAGAAUAUCCAUCUGGCUUUGCAAGCAUUCAGGAUGCCUGAUACUGCUGAAUCUUUGCGCAAUCCAUGCACUUUUGUAAAAUCUUUAUCUUCUUUCAUGCGGUGUCUUCUCUUUCAGCAGCGCUAGCUUGUCUGCUGAACAGCUGGUGGUUGAACUCAAGGAGCUAGGAUGGAGUUUCUCAUAUAAGGGUUAGAGCCCAGCGUCAACAGCAAUGGAAAGUGAUGGGUUAGAAUGAGGUAGACCUAUUCGUCAGUUCAAAUAAUGGUUUUGCCCUAGCAGUCAAGCUGAAUGAUAUGGAGCAGGAAGGGAAUUUGUUGUUGUGAGAGACUGCCAUAAAAACUCUGGAAAACUUAAUAAGCGCUGCUGUAGUCUGGACAGGAUCUAUCGAAAGGUGGUGUCCUUUGAACAAAAAGGUACUUUUCACAUCGCUAAGCAGCGUAUGAGCUAUUCUUGAAAGGUCUUUUGGGUUUUUUUGAUCAUAUAUGUAAGUAAUAACAUUUUGUCUGUCAUUUACAUGUAAAUCCCAGCAGAUCCUGAACAGGCAGCAUGACUUUAAUUGUUCGUUUGCGUCCUUUAAAUAACAAUAGUAGAAUAUGAUAUGAUUAUACCCAACAAUAAGACAAAUGCAGUACAGAGCAAAAGAUUUCGCCAGUAAUACAAAGUAACAUAAAGGAGAAGUUUUAAAAAAAUGAGAAAAUACACAUAGUUGUAAUACAUCACUCCAAGGACAGACCAAUAACAGCAGCAGUACGAACGAGAAUGACAACCAACUGGAGAGAAAUGGGUAAAAAAAGCAGAGGCUUAUGUGAUAAUGGGCAGCAGCUGUAACAGGUGAGACCUGCAUGCACAUGUGGUAUUUACCGGGUCUGUCUAUAAGAGAGCAGAGGGAGAAAACAGGGAGCUAUGAGAGAGGAAGAAGAGAGAGGUGGAGAUGGAGCUACAGUCUUGACACUUGUUAUCUCUGACCUAAUUUAUCAUGUUGCUUCUCUUUAUGUCAGGGAUGGUAGAUAUUUCCACUGCCUGACAACCGGUGAUGUUUCAACAUAUUUGGAUGCUGAGAAUCAGUCUCAGAUCAUAGCAGCUGAGGUGUGCAAAGACAAAUCUGGAGUAUUUUGUUGUGAAACCGACACGCAGUUACACAUUUCAGCAUCUUUAUGGACUCUCUGAAAAUGUUACAAUGUGUUGACAGGAAAACACGACUGAGAAAUCUCCAAUUUCAAGCCACAACAUGUACCACGGUGUUCCACACUCCUCUGUUUGGUCCGCACGUGUGAGCCGGUGUGCAACACGAAAGCUCCGGAGAAAACUUAAUGCUAUCAACCAUGAUUCUGAGGCAGAAAGCUUUAUCAACAUUUCCUCGGGGUAGCAAGGUCAGAUGCAUCUUCACAAUCCAAAAGAUAAAUGGAUCAGAUUUCCACGCCACAUGUAGUUCAGGGCCCAGUCUGCCAGCAGCCACAUAAACGUAAGCUUUCGGCCUUAAACACAGGGUGCUCGGUCUAGUGAGGCUCGUCAAAAAUACAAAAUGUCCCCAAGCUUAAAGAGCAGUUUGAUGUGAUUGAUGGACACCGAACGGCACAUUACAAUAAAUUUACCGGAGUGACCUGCAGACUUUCUCAGGCCUCGCUUGGUUGGAUGAAUGCGAAGUGUUUAUGCUGAGAUUUUAGAAGGAAUGAUUGUGGGAUUCGAUGAAAUUGCCACCUGAAGUAGUUUUGGUUUUGAAGGAGGCGGUAGCGCUCACACAGCGACCACGUGACUUUGCACAAAUACGCACAUUUAAAGUGUGAUUUUUUUAAACGGGAUGUACAGUGUGGCUUCGUUUCCCUUCCUCUGGAUCUAAAAGGAUAUUGGCAAGUGAAUAUCCCUCAUGUGUCUAUAUCCAUUCGACUUGUUUUCAUCGCAACAGGUGUUACCCACAGAUAAAAUGUGGAGGGAGAAUAUGAUUUUCGGUUGAAGGAUAGACGUUUCUUAUCUCAGAUAACCACUUUACUCCUGUCAUAACCUGUCUCUUCCUCUGAGUUCAGCUCUUGUGAUUGCUUGUGUGUGUGUGGGACUUGGCGUUGUUUGACAUGCAUACGCCCGGUUGUGUUGUCAUAUGCAUUUGCUGCAAGACCAGGGUUUACAAAGUGUGGCCCACACUUUGCGUAGUGACAAAGAAAGAUUGCAUAACUGUUCCUUUUUUAUCGUAUGGCAGAUCAUAACGAUUUGUUUAUUCAACUUCAGCUCUUCUUAACUUUAAUGAUUGUAGUAACCGCCUUACUAAUGAUUGGAAAAUAAAAACAUAAAGCAUCAAAAAUAAUUGAAGUUAUAACUAUAAAUCAGACAAAUUACAAACACCAGUUGUAAUUUUCUUUGAAACUUUGAGAACCUCUACAUUAAAAAUGUGCAGAACAAAUGUGAGGUAUAUUCAAUUUUGAUUAAAGAUCAAAUCAAAUUUAUUCCAGACUGAUGUUGGUAAAUUCUGGCAACGCUGUUUGGAGGCUGGCAUUUUUAGCUAUUACUUUGUACCAUCUGUAAUUUGAAAUCUUUCUCUAUGGCAGUUGGUUACUUGAUGCUGUGAUCCGAUAAAUGGAGUCACAUGGGGGCGUGCCGAGGUUACAGCACUACACGUUCUUGAUUAUAGUUAAUUUCCUAAUGACUAAGCUGGUGUCAAAUGUUCAAAUUAUAGACGGUACAAAGCAGCAGCUAAAAAUGUCAGCCCCCAAACAGCGUUGGCAGAUUUUGUUGACAGCUACCAGCUCCACAUACAACCCAAACCCCCUCGAUCACCAUAAAAGUAAGGUCACUUUAAAAAGAACAAACAAAAACAUUUGAAUCCAUGAUUAGAAGAAAUGUUGGAUUACAUAUAUACAUAUUGUUUGUGUUUUACAGUGGCUCAUUAAUGUGUUUUUGAACUCUGUGUGUUUUUUUUAACACAAUCCGUUGCCACCGAUUGUUUGGAUUCACAACUUUUCUGUGAAGAGUGCUCCAAGCCACCGAGACCUGGAAGAGAAAUACGCUUCUGAGAUCUCAAAAUUAAGUGAGGAGCAAAACAGAACAUGAAGACGAAGUAACCUCUCAGCAAGAUAUUCAGAGAGACAUGAUCCUGCAGGCUGGGCUGUUGGUGUUACUCAUAGAAAUGUUGGCACCGGUUGCUCUCUGUUUAUAAAGCUGGCGGGCCCAGAGCAUGGGGUGGAGACUGUGGAGAUCUCCGAUAUUUGGCAAAGUCAACAGCGGUAACAGGAGGAUACUUCAUCAUAGUCACAGUCACUGUCAGGUAGCUGAGACCUUGCCAGCUUUUUCAAUUUCUCCUGGCCUCAUAGCAAUUUGCCAAGUGGCGGAAUAGCAGUUGAAUUGCAAUCUGUGCAUAAUUUUAUUUGUACAACGCAGUGGAGGGAGUGACCUAAAUAGGGCUGAAGGACACCCGCAGAGAAAUAACCAAUAAUACAGUCAGAGGUGCUAUAUUGCAUUGCUGCCACCAGAGAAAUGUCUCCUAGUUGCUUUGAGGAGGUCACCAGAUGGCAUGAAAGUCAGCAGCCUUUACGUCCGACAAACUGGGAGCCUGUUUAGUGAGGACUAUACUUUGUGGUGUGAAAGAGUUUGAAAGUGGACGACCAUACUUUGACUGGAAUGUGUCACUUUUUCUAACAAGGUGUCUAAACGGCACUUCGGUUUAGGUUGGAUCGCUUGAGAAAUUUAUGUGGGAUAUUCAUAAAAAAAAGUCCUACUUUCUUUAAAUGAGUUGACGUUUUAUUUAAAAUACUUUGAUGACAUUAACAAAGUAACAAGGAACAUUUAAAAUUUAAAAAACAGUGAAGCUCACUCACUAGCACCUUCUAUCUCUUUAAUUACAAUAACUGAGUCAGUGAGAUAUCUUUAAACAAAACCAAGCUCGCUGUUUUUUGUCUCUGUAUAUUCAUUAACUUUUCAGAAUUUAGUCUUUGGUUACAAAGCUGGAGACUUUGUUGACUGGCCAUACUGCACAAAAUAGACUCUGCAAGUACCUCUCUGCCAUAGAUACACAUAUUUUAGGUCUGCUUUGUUCAGAGAGAACAGCACAUUCAUUUAACUGCAUGGAAAACUCCUAAACUUUUGAUAAAGCUUUUGUUAAUUAGGAUGUUGCAGUUAUUUUUUAUUGUCAGGCAACUGAAUCAGAGUAUGAGUAUGGUUUUAUAGAGAAAUAAUUUGUAUUAAAACUGUAUGUGAGCACAGAGGGAAAACACAUGCAAAGGAUUGACAGCAGCUGACACUAAGAAGAAUGCAAAUGUGACAAGACGAUGUCACGAAGAGGCUAAUUAGGGGGUGACAACAUUUAGAGACUUUUUAACCUGGCUUUGGCUAGUUUCCAUGGAAAGCAGUUGAAAUGCUGUUUCUUGCAUUGCAAGUAUUUUUACUCAGCCAAAUCACCCAACUAUUGACUAAAACUCCAUAAUUAUAACAGGCAGAAUGCUGCUUUGAGAGUGGUGACAAGCAUUUACAAUGGUGAAGCAUUUCUUUAAAUAUUAUCUACCUAAGAUCUUCAUAUGUGUUAAAUUUACCAUCAUUGAAUGUAUACGUGAAAAAAUUAGUCAUGUCCGAAAGUCAGAAAAUGCCUUUUUUUUGAAUUUGGAUAAAAGAAACACUAUCACUCUUAUGGUUGUCUCUCUCUUUCUAGUCCCUCAAACUGAUGCAACAGUGCCCUCAGUAAUUCAGUCACAGGACAGCCUCAAAUUGCACUGUGUCAAGAUAGGUGCAGUUCACUGAGAGCAUGUCAAACAGCAGUACUGGGCUAAUGGAUUUCCUGUGUGUCCCGGUGGGUUGUUUCACUAUCGACAGGAGAGUGGCUCAAGUCCUGCCAUUCACAAACCUGGGAGCUGAUAACACGGGGAAGGAAAGCAGACAGUGCCACAGUUCACCUGUCACUCCAGCUCCCGUUCCAAACGGCUGCUGUUGAUUUAACUGAUUGGAGACAGGCCCACUUAAACAAAACAGAGUGCGGGCGUCCCACCGAGAGUGUUACAGAGACAAAACACGUUGGUAUAACUGGCCUCCUGUUUACUCUAACAUGGCAGACGUGACCUUUGGUGAGCAUUUCAAAUAACCAGGGGGACCCGACAGAGGCUAAGCCGAGCUUGGGAGACAAAGUUCCUGCUAGUGCUGACAUUACCGGCCAUCUGCUUUAACUGGUCAACUGGGAGACCAGCGCAGAUGCAGAAGUUCACCCCUGCAGGCUGACCAAAGCUCUGUGGUUUGCCCAGGGCAAGCUGUCUCGCUCCUGCCUCUGCAACUCAUCUGUCAUUGGCCAGACCUAAAGCUGCUGGAUCAUUGCCUGAAGACUUUUAAAACUCUCUGGCGAGAGGUCAUACAUUGAAUUAGAAAGCCAGUGGGGGAAAUAUCUUGGUGCUGGAGCAAAAGCAAGUAUUAAACUGCAUUUCUGAGGCAGGAGAGCCUCAAGCGUUGCUACCCUUCUCAGUGUGGGCCUGGUCUGUCAUAUGAAGUUUUAGUUUAUUCCAGGGGAAACACAUUUUAAAAACCAGGACCGAGUUCACUGUUUAGCUGAUGUCUAAAAAUUUUGUAUUGAUUUUGUAGUUUCUCCAAGUUUUUCAUUGACAUUGUGUUCGAUAUAUGCAGUUUUUAAAUCAUGUUGCACUGUAAAAAUGCUCCGCUUCAAGCAAAAGUUAUGCAUUGGAAGUUUUUUAUGUACAGAAUCCUAAUCUAAAGCUCGCCCGAGCUUUAAAAAGCUUUACAUGGAGUUUCAGCUUAAUGUUUUGCUGUCGGUCCUGCAACUUUUCCAUGUUGGUUCACUCUCAUCGCUCCCUUGGUGUUGAUUUUGGACACAGCAGGCAGUCCUUUUUCAGAGAAACAGCUACUGUACCAAACAGCAAACACAAUUAAUGACUAGCGGGUGAAAACACUGGAGCAUUUAGCAGCUAAACAGCCGCACAUUCCCUUAGGACUUGCUAGAGAACAAAGACAAAGCUAAAAUAGAGUGAAUCCUGAGCUCAAAUUAAUGCUCCUUAACUACUGGAUGUGUGAAUAAGGAUUUGCUCGGUAACAAGUUCAUUGUAUAAACUUAAAAGGGGGUAAUAUGUCAUUGUUCUAUGCACAAUAGCCUCAAAUUAUUGCUGAUUUGCAUAACGAAAUAUUUAAACUUAUUAAAAACGAGUCAACAGUUAUACUGUCCACUGUGUGUCAUACGUUCACAUGCUGGAAGUCUUGUAUGAACAUUUUUAAUUAGUGAUUUAUUGCAGAAUAACAAUUUCUGCCUAAUAAGUACCUUUGAGGUACUGUGGAGUCACUGCAUUGUGACAUGGAAAUACUCAUAUACAGUGUUGCACGUGAAAUGCCUACUUAGUGCACUGCUCAUUAGUUAACUUCAACCAAAAGCACGGCAGAAAAUGCACAGCAGAAUAAAAAAAGGUACUCUGGAAAAGUAGCAUGUGACUGAAAUGUGGGAAAGCACACGCCUCCUCUCCCAGCAGCCUCUCUCCACUUCAAGUACUGAAGUGUUUGUCAUUCAGCUUAAUAAGGUGGCCUCAACAGGGAGCACCACACCAGCAACCAUAGGCUGGAGAGGCUGGGGCUGUGGAGGGUUUAUGUUUGAUACAUCAACAGUAGAUGCAUUCGCAUAGGACUGUGGAUCUGUGAGAGUCUGAAAACGGACGGAAAGAGGUACCAGAUUCGAGCGAGUUAUUACGAGUGAAUGUCUUCAGUUUACGAGCGUCUAGCCUAAAUGAAUUAAAGCAUAAAAUAAAUAAAUAAAUAGGCAAAACAAAUUCAAAUUAUGUUUUUACAAUAGUGACAUCAUAGGUUAGACGUCCUGAAAUGCGCAGUGUGGCAAAGAGAGCAACUAAAAUAUGCAUGUGGGACAAAGCCCAUUCUCAACGUCGGCUCUAAUAAAAAAUUAAAAAACAAAACAAAAUCAGGCUUAUUUAAAGAAAACUGCAAGUAUAAAACUGUAGAUAAAACAAAGGACCUUAGAAACAAGAGUGCUUACACUCCUGCAGUCGCUGAAAACAACCCCAUUACAGUGACAGCUUUACAUUUUGUUCUGUUUAAUUAUUCAUCUCAGCCACUGAAUUGUAAACAUGUCUUAAUCAAUCAAAUGACGAUGGCUAGCAAUUCGUAAAUAUAACUACUGUGGGGGUACUAAGGCCAUUAAUUAUUAAAACUACUCCCCUCUUAUUAGUAGGAUAACAGUGAGGAGGUCAGUAGCGUUCUCGGUUCAGUUCCUCAGCUCAGCAAAGUGACCCUGAAGUUCAUCCGCUGUGUUGGAUCGCCUGCAGCAAAACUUUAAACUUCAGAAAUUAAUUUCUCUCACUGAGUUCAAAGCCUCAGUUAGGGCUGUAUAAGACGAAUCCUGUGGGAAGUAUUGUUUUGCAUAAGUUGUUAUCUUCCAGACUGUGGCACUGCUUUCUCAUCUUCUCCUCUCUGUGUUUUUAGGGCUGUGAGAUUGUUUUUGUAAUAUGAUAAUGUUUUGUUUGUCUCAGACUUCAUAUGUGUUGCCCCCUUGCCCACAUCUGACUCAUAAAAAAAAUAAAAUGUUGAACUCAUAAUAGAAUAAAUUAAAGAAUACUGAAAAAAACAGAAAAUCCUUCCCGGUGAUACUCCAGAGUGACUCAGACUGCCAAACUGCACCAAAUGGUCAGUCUAGCAGUGAAACCUGCCAGUUAUUACUUUAAAGCUGCACCAGAAUCUGCACAAACCAUACAGGCUUUGAGAUUCCGACGACUGCAGAGAGGAACGGAAGAUAGCAAAGUGAUGCUGACAGGUCUUCAGAUAGGGGAAUUUAUGACAGUUUAUUUGGCUGUGGAGCCCUCGGUAAAUUAUGUGAACAGCCAAACAUAUGUGAUUAUUAAAUGCCUCAUUCCAAAACUUUGGGAUUCAGUCUGCUGCUAUAACAGCCUUUACCCUUCUAUGAAGGCUUUCCAGGCUGAAGGGAUUUGCUCCAAUUCAGCUGCUAGAGCAUUAGUGAGGUCAGCCAGUGAUGUUGGGUGAUAACGUCUGGCUUGUAGCUCCAGUUCGUCCCAAAGGCCGGUCAAGUUCUUCAACACGGAGUCAGAUGGUCCAAAAUACUACAGUUUUGUCAAUCCAUAAAUUUUCUGACUGAUCCCUAUCCAGGUUUGUAUCACGGGGGCAUCAGUCUAUGCAGAGACAUCCAGACCUAAGACAUUCCCAUACACAGCGACACAUCAAUCUCAUCUAGGAGGCACUCAGAAGGCAUCCUUGUUAGAUUCCUGAACCACCUCAACUGGUUUCUUUCAACGUGGAGGAGUAGUCCAGUAGCAGUCUCCUCAUCCUAUGGCUAAGGGAGAGCCCAGUCACCCUUCAGAGGGAGGUCAUUUCCAUCGCUUGUAUCUGCGUUCUCAUUCUUUUGGUCACUGCCCAGUGCUCGUGGGCAUAGGUGAGGGUACUACGUAGAUCGACCAGUAAAUCGGCAACUUCGCUUUCACACUCAGCUCUCUCUUAUUACCAAAACAGGCGCCGCAGGCACCACACCAAUCCGUCUGUAAAUCUCCUGCUCCCGUCUUUUUUCAUUUGUGGAAAAAGACCCAGAGAUACUUAAACUCCUUCACUUGGUACAGCAGCUCGUCCCUGACCCGGAGUGAGCACAAACAUGAUUUAAACCAAAAUUGCAAAAUGAAGAAAAUAAAUAAAAACAGUUAUUAAAUAGGGCUGCUCCUGUGGACUGGCAGCAUUUGUGGCUUGAUUAAAGCUUGAGAUCAUGUCAGAUGUCAGGAUUAGUCUUGUAUCUUACACUUUGGUGUUUGGUGAGGUUUUGCUCACUAUUGAAAGAGUGACUUUUUCUUCAAAUUACAGUCAAUUUUAUGCAACAUCACAUUUAGAUUUUCUUAAGGUAACACUACAUUUGUCAAUUAUUGAUUUAAAAAUAAAUAAUUUACAAUAUGUUUUAAAAAAAAAGAAAAAGAAAAAAAGAUUUCACAGCAUUCCUAACAGUCCUGUCAUACUUUAAUAGCUUGAAGAACCACCUUUGGCUUCAUUUCUUUUAUGUUGGUUGCUGUUUAUUUCUGCACAGCUCUCCGAAGGUCUUACCACAGACUUUUAAUCACUCUGAGGUCUGGACUGUUGACCAUUAGAACACCACAACUCUUUUUCAGCUAUUCUGUAGAUUUGCAUGCUGUGUUGUACUGUAUGACGCAAUUUUGGCCAAAGUUUAGCUGUCAGACAUUUGACUCUAGAGUCCUUUGAUAUGCUCAGUGACUGCAAGUUGUCCAGGUCCUCUGGCUGCAAAACAAGCCCAAGUCACCAGCCCUCCACCACCGUGUUUGACAGUUGGUGUGAGGUGUUUCUGCUGAUAUGCUAGUUUCUCUGUGCAUUAUGGCCAGGCAUCUCCACAUCUGUCGCAUCUGCCCAAAGUACAUUAUUCCAGAUGUGGCUGGCCAACCCUUCCAAACAAGUGCAGUUUCUCUUACCUGGGACGUCCACUGCUGGGACCAUUGUGGUAUUGUGUUAACACACCUGAAUGCUCCAGAACAGCAAACUGCCCUAAACUUUGGCUUAUAUAGAGGUUAUCACACUUGCUGAUGAAUUUGUUUAGCUGCUACUUAUCCCUCUUAAUUCCUGUGAAAGUAUUAAAGGUAUUCUGCAUAGAGGCAUGUGGAAACGUUGUUUUCACAUGAAUGUUAAUGUGUUGAAUUAUAUACUUGUCAGUAGAUACAUUUUACAUCAUUACAUAAUAGGUUUGUUCUAAUAUAAUAAUGUUCUUAAUAAAAUGUCCUGAAAGAAAAUCAUAAUAAAAAAAAAUCUUUCAAUUAUCUUUUUUACCAUCAAAAAGUAAUAAGUCUGCUAAUAAUAGACUUCUGGGCUCAAGGCAGAAGUUGACUGGCAUGACUGGCUUAA